Juglans regia (Persian walnut) is the source of this 724-nucleotide long non-coding RNA. RefSeq lists it as uncharacterized. The record is from RefSeq and is a predicted model, not a curated record. The transcript is spliced from 2 exons. Lineage: Eukaryota; Viridiplantae; Streptophyta; Magnoliopsida; Fagales; Juglandaceae.
UUCACCAAGAGCCUUCUAUGCGGUUCUCACCAAAGUUGAUGUUUGUGCGAUUCUCACCAAAGUCGUCUUGUCCAGGGAUCCCUCUCGUGAUGGUGCCAGUGAAUACCACACCCCCUCGCAACCGUGGCAAGGAGACGAACAGACCCAGCCCCUUCUCGCAACCAUGGCUUUGGAGACGGACAACACAACCGAACCCUAGACCAAUUUAUGACAGAAAAUGAGAAGUUUCGGUUCUCAUUCCGGCUCAAGUUCUUAGACUGCAAGAGGGGAAGAUAAAGUGCCAGUGGAGAGACCAUUUUGUUAUUGUGGCAUCCAAGCGAAAGUACAGAUUUCUGGAAAGGCCCAUAAUUUUGGUAGAAUAUUUUACAAUUGUCCAAAAUUAUAAGAAUAAAGCACAACGUGAAUUUUUUGAAUGGAUUGAUCUUCAAAGUGAUCACAACAACUGCUAUAAGAUGAUGUUAGAGUUAGCAGAAUGAAGAAAUGAGAGGGUACUUCAUGAACGUCCAGGCAUCGAACAAUCCAAAUUACAAGUAAUGGAGAAAAAGUACAAGGGAAUGUUGAAAAUGUUGUUCAUAUCAGGGUUAUUUUUUUCAUAUUUUGUAUUGUAAUUUUGAUGUUGCCAAAGAACGACAAUGUAUGUUGGCCAAUGCUGCAACUCAUAUAACUCGCUGUAAUUUGUUAGUGUAAUGGACAUGAAGUGAAUGUAAUAGACGUGUUUGGAACA